RNAcentral lists this ribosomal RNA (378 nucleotides) under uncultured euryarchaeote. Its description in RNAcentral is "bacterial SSU rRNA". It matches the Rfam family "Archaeal small subunit ribosomal RNA", at positions 349 to 728 of the family's 1478-position model. The record is from RNAcentral. Lineage: Archaea; Methanobacteriati; Methanobacteriota.
UUUACAAUGCACGAAAGUGUGAUAGGGGGAUUCAACGUGCUCAAGCUUUGCUUGGGCUUUUGUCAAGUCACAAUUGCUUGACGAAUAAGGGAUGGGAAAGACUGGUGCCAGCCGCCGCGGUAACACCAGCGUCCCAAGUGGGAGUCAGUUUUAUUGGGUCUAAAGCGUCCGUAGCGGGUUUAGUAAAUUACUUGUGAAAUCGUGCGUCUCAAGCGUACGGAAGGCAGGUAAGACUGCUAAACUAGAGAUCGGGAGACGUUGGAGGUAUUCAUGGGGGAGCGGUAAAAUGCGAGAAUCCCAUGAGGACCACCUGUUGCGAAGGCGUCCAACAAUAACGAGUCUGACCGUGAGGGACGAAAGCUAGGGGAGCGAACCGGA